AACGCGAAGAACCUUACCUACCCUUGACAUCCUUGGAACCCAUCAGAGACGUUGGGGUGCCCGCAAGGGAACCAAGAGACAGGUGCUGCAUGGCUGUCGUCAGCUCGUGUCGUGAGAUGUUGGGUUAAGUCCCGUAACGAGCGCAACCCCUAUUUUUAGUUGCUAGCAGGUAAAGCUGAGAACUCUAGAGAGACUGCCGGUGAUAAGCCGGAGGAAGGUGGGGAUGACGUCAAGUCCUCAUGGCCCUUACGGGUAGGGCAACACACGUGCUACAAUGGGCGGUACAGAGGGAAGCAAAGCCGCGAGGUGAAGCGAAUCUCAGGAAAGCCGCUCGUAGUCCGGAUUGGAGUCUGCAACUCGACUCCAUGAAGUUGGAAUCGCUAGUAAUCGCGGAUCAGAAUGUCGCGGUGAAUACGUUCCCGGCCUUGUACACACCGUAGUAC
RNAcentral lists this ribosomal RNA (443 nucleotides) under uncultured bacterium. Its description in RNAcentral is "bacterial SSU rRNA". It matches the Rfam family "Bacterial small subunit ribosomal RNA", at positions 958 to 1398 of the family's 1533-position model. The record is from RNAcentral.